RNAcentral lists this ribosomal RNA (253 nucleotides) under uncultured bacterium. Its description in RNAcentral is "partial 16S ribosomal RNA". It matches the Rfam family "Bacterial small subunit ribosomal RNA", at positions 524 to 776 of the family's 1533-position model. The record is from RNAcentral.
UACGUAGGUGGCAAGCGUUGUCCGGAUUUACUGGGCGUAAAGAGCGCGCAGGCGGCUGGCCAAGUCAGACGUGAAAUCCCUCGGCUUAACCGGGGAACUGCGUCUGAUACUGGAUGGCUAGAGAUUGGGAGAGGGAUGCGGAAUUCCAGGUGUAGCGGUGAAAUGCGUAGAUAUCUGGAGGAACACCGGUGGCGAAGGCGGCAUCCUGGACCAACACUGACGCUGAGGAGCGAAAGCCAGGGGAGCAAACGGG